AUACGUAGGUGGCAAGCGUUGUCCGGAAUUAUUGGGCGUAAAGCGCAUGUAGGCGGUAAUUUAAGUCUGUCGUGAAACUGCGGGGCUCAGCCCCGUAUGGCGAUGGAAACUGGGUUACUUGAGUGCAGGAGAGGAAAGGGGAACUCCCAGUGUAGCGGUGAAAUGCGUAGAUAUUGGGAAGAACACCGGUGGCGAAGGCGCUUUUCUGGACUGUGUCUGACGCUGAGAUGCGAAAGCCAGGGUAGCGAACGGGAUUAGAUACCCCGGUAGUCCUGGCCGUAAACGAUGGGUACUAGGUGUGGGAGGUAUCGACCCCUUCCGUGCCGGAGUUAACGCAAUAAGUACCCCGCCUGGGGAGUACGGCCGCAAGGCUUAAACUCAAAGGAAUUGACGGGG
Molecule: ribosomal RNA, 396 nt
Filed under: uncultured bacterium
Lineage: Bacteria
Description: partial 16S ribosomal RNA
Rfam family: Bacterial small subunit ribosomal RNA
Source: RNAcentral